UUCAUGGAGAGUUUGAUCCUGGCUCAGGACGAACGCUGGCGGCGUGCCUAAUACAUGCAAGUCGAGCGGACAGAUGGGAGCUUGCUCCCUGAUGUCAGCGGCGGACGGGUGAGUAACACGUGGGUAACCUGCCUGUAAGACUGGGAUAACUCCGGGAAACCGGGGCUAAUACCGGAUGCUUGAUUGAACCGCAUGGUUCAAUUAUAAAAGGUGGCUUUUAGCU
Molecule: ribosomal RNA, 223 nt
Filed under: Bacillus paralicheniformis
Lineage: Bacteria; Bacillati; Bacillota; Bacilli; Caryophanales; Bacillaceae
Also listed under: 1 other name
Description: partial 16S ribosomal RNA
Rfam family: Bacterial small subunit ribosomal RNA
Source: RNAcentral